CAGGACGAACGCUGGCGGCGUGCCUAAUACAUGCAAGUCGAACGGUCUUUCUAUGGAAGCUUGCUUCCACUGAGAAGAUAGUGGCGAACGGGUGAGUAACACGUGGGUAACCUGCCCAUAAGAGGGGGGAUAACAUCCGGAAACGGGUGCUAAUACCGCAUAGUUUUCUUGAUCGCAUGAUCGGGAAAGGAAAGACGGCCUUUGUGCUGUCGCUUAUGGAUGGACCCGCGGCGUAUUAGUUAGUUGGUGAGGUAACGGCUCACCAAGACGAUGAUACGUAGCCGACCUGAGAGGGUGAUCGGCCACAUUGGGACUGAGACACGGCCCAAACUCCUACGGGAGGCAGCAGUAGGGAAUCUUCCGCAAUGGACGAAAGUCUGACGGAGCAACGCCGCGUGAGUGAAGAAAGGUUUUCGGAUCGUAAAACUCUGUUGUCAGAGAAGAACAAGUUGGAGAGUAACUGCUCCAGCCUUGACGGUAUCUGACCAGAAAGCCACGGCUAACUACGUGCCAGCAGCGGC
Molecule: ribosomal RNA, 521 nt
Filed under: uncultured bacterium
Lineage: Bacteria
Description: bacterial SSU rRNA
Rfam family: Bacterial small subunit ribosomal RNA
Source: RNAcentral